GGAGAUGGGCUGUGCGAGGUGGAGAAGCAGGGCACGUGCAUUACUAUCUAUCACAUACUCUCAUGGAAGAGAGGAGACGGCUAGUUCUUCAUGUGCCCCUCUUCUCCACCAAGCCCAACUCAUCUAAUUUAUGCAGCAAUAUGGGCAAAGUUGUAUUCUCCGAUGCAUGCGUUAAUAGCAGACUGGCUCAUGAGUUCUUCCUUUUCGAUCGCAGGCUAUGCAGGGAGUUUUUAUUCUUGCAAUAAAAAGUUGGAUGCCAGGUGAAGAUCGAACGUAACCAUAUAAGAGAUCAGGAGGAAAGAAGAACAAGGACAGAAUCCAAUCUCGAUAGUUUUCCUUCUUCAAUUGCUAUAUCUUCUUGUCAUGGUUCAUUAUAAAGUUCAACAUGUCACUACCAAUUUCGAUCAAUCACAUCAUAUGUCUAUCUACAAGAUGCCAGUAAGGUUUGCAGAAAUAAGUGCAUCAAAGUAUAGGAAAAGUAAUUAAAGAUUUAAGUUUUUGUACUAAGAUAUGUGUUAGCACUAGAAAUAUUUAUUCUCGUACCUUGCCCCUUUUCUGAAAAUGGACUCCUUUAAAGUAUUAGGGGAUUCUCUCUCU
Long non-coding RNA from Phoenix dactylifera (date palm), 597 nucleotides. RefSeq lists it as uncharacterized. Lineage: Eukaryota; Viridiplantae; Streptophyta; Magnoliopsida; Arecales; Arecaceae. The record is from RefSeq and is a predicted model, not a curated record.